RNAcentral lists this ribosomal RNA (1236 nucleotides) under Aster yellows phytoplasma. Its description in RNAcentral is "bacterial SSU rRNA". It matches the Rfam family "Bacterial small subunit ribosomal RNA", at positions 163 to 1399 of the family's 1533-position model. Lineage: Bacteria; Bacillati; Mycoplasmatota; Mollicutes; Acholeplasmatales; Acholeplasmataceae. The record is from RNAcentral.
CUAAGACUGGAUAGGAGACAAGAAGGCAUCUUCUUGUUUUUAAAAGACCUAGCAAUAGGUAUGCUUAGGUAGGAGCUUGCGUCACAUUAGUUAGUUGGUGGGGUAAAGGCCUACCAAGACUAUGAUGUGUAGCCGGGCUGAGAGGUUGAACGGCCACAUUGGGACUGAGACACGGCCCAAACUCCUACGGGAGGCAGCAGUAGGGAAUUUUCGGCAAUGGAGGAAACUCUGACCGAGCAACGCCGCGUGAACGAUGAAGUAUUUCGGUACGUAAAGUUCUUUUAUUAGGGAAGAAUAAAUGAUGGAAAAAUCAUUCUGACGGUACCGAAUGAAUAAGCCCCGGCUAACUAUGUGCCAGCAGCCGCGGUAAUACAUAGGGGGCAAGCGUUAUCCGGAAUUAUUGGGCGUAAAGGGUGCGUAGGCGGUUAAAUAAGUUUGUGGUCUAAGUGCAAUGCUCAACAUUGUGAUGCUAUAAAAACUGUUUAGCUAGAGUAAGAUAGAGGCAAGUGGAAUUCCAUGUGUAGUGGUAAAAUGCGUAAAUAUAUGGAGGAACACCAGUAGCGAAGGCGGCUUGCUGGGUCUUUACUGACGCUGAGGCACGAAAGCGUGGGGAGCAAACAGGAUUAGAUACCCUGGUAGUCCACGCCGUAAACGAUGAGUACUAAACGUUGGGUAAAACCAGUGUUGAAGUUAACACAUUAAGUACUCCGCCUGAGUAGUACGUACGCAAGUAUGAAACUUAAAGGAAUUGACGGGACUCCGCACAAGCGGUGGAUCAUGUUGUUUAAUUCGAAGGUACCCGAAAAACCUCACCAGGUCUUGACAUGCUUCUGCAAAGCUGUAGAAACACAGUGGAGGUUAUCAGUUGCACAGGUGGUGCAUGGUUGUCGUCAGCUCGUGUCGUGAGAUGUUGGGUUAAGUCCCGCAACGAGCGCAACCCUUAUUGUUAGUUACCAGCACGUAAUGGUGGGGACUUUAGCAAGACUGCCAGUGAUAAAUUGGAGGAAGGUGGGGACGACGUCAAAUCAUCAUGCCCCUUAUGACCUGGGCUACAAACGUGAUACAAUGGCUGUUACAAAGGGUAGCUGAAGCGCAAGUUUUUGGCGAAUCUCAAAAAAACAGUCUCAGUUCGGAUUGAAGUCUGCAACUCGACUUCAUGAAGUUGGAAUCGCUAGUAAUCGCGAAUCAGCAUGUCGCGGUGAAUACGUUCUCGGGGUUUGUACACACCGCCCGUCA